CCUACGGGAGACAGCAGUGAGGAAUAUUGGUCAAUGGGCUUACGCCUGAACCAGCCAAGUCGCGUGAGGGAAGACUGCCCUAUGGGUUGUAAACCUCUUUUGUCAGGGAGCCACGCCGGCUACGUGUAGCCGGACUGAGAGUACCUGAAGUAAAAGCAUCGGCUAACUCCGUGCCAGCAGCCGCGGUAAUACGGAGGAUGCGAGCGGUAUCCGUAUUUAUUGGGGUUAAAGGGUGCGUAGGCGGAAUGCCAAGUCAGCGGUAAAAUCGCGGGGCGCAACCGCGCUCCGACGUUGAAGCUGGCGUUCUUGAGUGGGCGAGAAGUAUGCGGAAUGCGUGGGGUAGCGGUGAAAGGCAUAGAGAUCACGCAGAACUCCGAUUGCGAAGGCAGCAUACCGGCGCCCAACUGACGCUGAAGCACGAAAGCGUGGGUAUCGAACAGGAUUAGAUACACUUGUAGUC
Molecule: ribosomal RNA, 460 nt
Filed under: uncultured bacterium
Lineage: Bacteria
Description: partial 16S ribosomal RNA
Rfam family: Bacterial small subunit ribosomal RNA
Source: RNAcentral